RNAcentral lists this long non-coding RNA (2068 nucleotides) under Marmota monax (woodchuck). The record is from RNAcentral. Lineage: Eukaryota; Metazoa; Chordata; Mammalia; Rodentia; Sciuridae.
AUCUACUACCAUAACAACCUGAGAAGUAGAAUAUUAUCAAUAUCUUUGAAAAGCCACAUUAGCCAGUGUGUUUCUUACUGAAAUUAUGAAAGAUUUCCAUGAGAAAGACUCCAAAAUAUCCUUCAAUUGUUGCUUGUGCAAUUUUUUUUUAAGCUGUAUAUGAACACACAGUAUCUAUUUAUUUUUAUGUGGUGCUGAGGAUUGAACCCAGGGCCUCACACAUGUGAGGGAACCGCUUUACCACUGAGCUAUAGCCGCAGCCCCCGUACAUUUUUUUUAUGAUUUUUUUAGUUGUAGUUGGACACAAUACCUUCAUUUUAUUUAUUUUUAUGUGGGGCUAAGGAUCAAACCCAGCGCCUCGCACAUGCUAGGCAAGCGCUCUACUGUUGAGCUACAACCCCAGCCCCUGUUGCUUAUACAUUUUUAUAAAUAAAGUACUUAUAAUUUUCUGUCUUGCUUUUACAUUUGGUAUAUUAUGGUUUCAUAUGUUUUCACAAUACUUUUUAAAGAUACGAUUAAUUUUACCAAUAAUGAAAUUCUGAAAACUGAAGAGAAUCUAUAAGAUAAUGUUCUUUUGGGGGGUGGGGAGCGUACCAGAGAUUGAAUUCAGAGGCAUUCAACCACUAAGCCAGAUCCCCAGCCCUAUUUUGUAUUUGAUUUAGAGACAGUUGCUUAGCACCUCGCCAUUGCUGAGGCUGGCUUUGAACUUGAGAUCCUCCUGCUUUAGCCUCCCAAACUGCUGGGAUUACAGGCGUAUGCCACUGUGCUUAGCUACAAGAUAAUAUUCUUGAAAUAACUGAAGUUGUAGAAAAAACAAAUCAGUGGUUAGGAGUGAUUAGGCAAAAGUGAGAUACAACUAUAAAGAGAUGGUAUAGGACACUUUCUAUGUGGUGAGGGAAUGAUUCUGUAUCUUGAUUGUAGUGUUGCUUGUGCUACACAUGGGGUAAAAUUGCAAAGAACUGUAUUCUACCUCUGCUAACACCCUGGCCUUCACUGUAUAUACACAGAUGAGAACACAUAAAAUCUGAAUAAAGUCUGUGUUUUUGUGAAAAAUAAUACACCAUAUCAUUUUAUUGUUUUGGGGUUAAAUUUUAGUUGGUAAGAUAAUGCCUUUGGAGAAUCUAAAUGAAGGGUACACAGGACUCUUUCUUAAUUAUUUUUAUUAUCACUUGGUAAAACAGGGACCAUCAUACUGAAAUUCAUCCUUUUUCUGUUAUCAAUAAGAAAUAUAACUCCACUUUUUCAUAAUGUCCCCACUCUGUAACAUUUGUAAGUUUUAACAGUUUUCCCUAUAAUUUGUUUCUAUUAAAGCAGCAUUAUGCCAGGAAUGGUGACUCAUGCCUGUCAUCCCAGCAGCUCGGGAGGCUGAGGCAAGAGGUUGCAAGAUCAAAGCCAGCCUAAGCAACUUGAUGAGACCCUUUUUCUUCCUUUCUUUCUUUUUUAAUAUUUAUUUUUUAGUUGGACGCAAUAUCUUUAUUUUAUUUAUUUAUUUUUAUGUGGUGCUGAGGAUCAAACCCAGGGCCUCUCAGAUGUUAGGCAAUCGCUGUACUGCUGAGUCACAACCCCAGCCCGUUGAAACCCUUUUUCAAAAUAAAAAAGAUCUGGGGAUGUGAUUCAGUGGUUAAGCACCCCUGAGGGUCUAUCCAACAAGAAAGAAAAUACUUAGAAAAUACUUAAAACAAAAAACCCAGUUUUUUAAUGUAAAAAUUUGUUUGUAAAUCCAAUCUUAGAUAUUUCUUUCUCUUUCUCUCUCUCUCUCUCUCUUUUUUUUUUUUUUUUUGGUACCAGAGAUUGACCCAGGGGCCCUUAACCUCUGAACCAUAUCCUCAGCCCUUUUUUAUUUUUUAUUUGAGACAGGGUCUUGGUAAGUUGCUUAGGUCCUCGAUAAGUAAGUUGCUAGGGCUGGCUUUGAACUUGUGAUUCUUCUGCUUCAGCCUCCUGAGCUGUUGGGAUUAUAGGUGUGUGCCACCAUGCCCAGCUAAAUUGUAUAUAUUUCUCUACAUGUAUUUUAAAGGUAAUUUAUCACAUGUACAUUUUUAAUGCUGUUCUUUUACUUAUUGUAAUAUCA